RNAcentral lists this ribosomal RNA (426 nucleotides) under uncultured bacterium. Its description in RNAcentral is "bacterial SSU rRNA". It matches the Rfam family "Bacterial small subunit ribosomal RNA", at positions 354 to 796 of the family's 1533-position model. The record is from RNAcentral.
GUGAGGAAUUUUCGGCAAUGGGCGCAAGCCUGACCGAGCAACGCCGCGUGCAGGAGGACGCUUUUCGGAGUGUAAACUGCUUUUAUCGGGGAAGAGAACAGACGGUACCCGGUGAAGAAGCCCCGGCUAACUACGUGCCAGCAGCCGCGGUAAUACGUAGGGGGCGAGCGUUGUCCGGAGUUACUGGGCGUAAAGGGCAUGUAGGCGGUCUGCUAAGUUCGGAGUGACAGUCACCAGCUUAACUGGUGAAGGACUUUGAAAACUGGCAGACUUGAGAGCGAAAGAGGGACACGGAAUUCCGGGUGGAGCAGUGAAAUGCGUAGAGAUCCGGAGGAACACCAAAGGCGAAGGCAGUGUCCUGGCUCGUUUCUGACGCUGAGGUGCGAAAGCCAGGGGAGCGAACGGGAUUAGAAACCCUAGUAGUCC